This 1329-nucleotide unclassified non-coding RNA is filed under the name Hevea brasiliensis (rubber tree). The record is from RNAcentral. Lineage: Eukaryota; Viridiplantae; Streptophyta; Magnoliopsida; Malpighiales; Euphorbiaceae.
GCUGAAUCCUCCUUGUACACAUUUUCUGUGCUGCCCUACCUUUUAUUUGCAGCGAUCGACAUGCUCGAUGGGUAAGCUAGUGUUGCUUGAGAAGGAAAAAGACAUACAAAAGGAAAGAAUUUUGCCUAGUAAAUAUGUCAAAAUAAGCUUAUGUUGUGUACACAGGACUGACACAAACAAUGUACUUAUAAUAUAGUUGGUGUUUUUUGCAUGUAUGUGAAGUUACAGAGGUUUGGGUGUUCUAAUGCAGGGCUCAUUUAGCAUUUGCGUUGGAGCUGUGGGUGGCUGAGAAAAAUAUUUUUUAAAUAUAAUAGUUAGAAAGCAACAUCUAGUGGGACCCGUCAAAGAAAAUCACCCAUGAAGGAAACACCACCAAAUCCACCACUGUACAAAUAGGCCACGCCUUGUCACUUCAUAAUGAUCAAUUAAUUCCAUUGCCAUCAUCUUCAUAACAAACUACAGCAGAUUAGAAAAGCUGUUCUUAGGCAGAAAUCUUCUCAAAAGACCAUUGCCAAUCUCUCCUCCCAAAUUAGAUACUUAUCAAUAGGAAAGAAUCAGAUCUGUGGAACUGUUCCUUCAGAGUUGGGGAACCUAGUGAACUUAAAUGUGUUGGAUAUGCAGAACAACGUGUUGCAUGGUAAUAUUCCUCCAACUAUUGGCAAUCUCCAAAAUCUGUUUCAACUGUAUUUCCAUGGCAACAACUUUCACAGGACAAAUUCCAUUUACCCUUGCUAAUAUUACUUUCCUAUAUGAUCUUACUUUGGGGGAAAUUAUCCGCCUGGAAAUGUACCUCUAAGUCAGGGAACUGUCGGGAUUUGAUGAACCUAUAUCUUGCUUUGAAUGAGCAUGAUGGCUACAUUCCUGAAUCCAUGUUUGGCCUUUCUUCUAUUGUGUUCAUCGAUCUUUCUUUCAAUUCCUUAACUGGUUCCAGAAAGACUUCCUUUUUUGCAAAUUUUGAAUAUUUCUUUCAAUGAUCUCGAGGGUGAAGUUCAAGAAACCGGCAUUUUCAAAAAUGCUAGUGUAAUUUCUCCUAACGCUGUGGAGGAAUCCCAGAAUUGAGGUUUCCAGCUUGCACUUCCUGCACUCUAAUCAAAGAGGAAUUUCUCAAGCACUGAAAGUGAUUGUUCCAUUAAUCAUUGUGGCUAUUUGUUCAGCUGUGUUAGCAGGUUUACUUAUCAAUUGCUACAGGAAAAACAACACAGUGGUGAAUCCUUCUUCAGCACCACUUGACAAUCAAUUCCCCAAAAUUUCUUACCAACAACUUUUUCAAGCAACUGAUGGUUUCUUUGAGGCUAAUUUGAUAGGAUCAGGUAUGGGUCUGUGUAUAAA